UGCGUAGGCGGCGCGGAAAGUUGGGUGUGAAAUCCCUCGGCUCAACCGAGGAACUGCGCCCAAAACUGCCGUGCUCGAGGGAGAUAGAGGUGAGCGGAACUUAGGGUGGAGCGGUGAAAUGCGUUGAUAUCCUAAGGAACACCGGUGGCGAAAGCGGCUCACUGGAUCUCUUCUGACGCUGAUGCACGAAAGCUGGUAGCAACG
RNAcentral lists this ribosomal RNA (204 nucleotides) under uncultured bacterium. RNAcentral describes it as "partial 16S ribosomal RNA". It matches the Rfam family "Bacterial small subunit ribosomal RNA", at positions 568 to 773 of the family's 1533-position model. The record is from RNAcentral.